CAGACAAGCUUAGCUACUGGACCGGCUCCGCCCAGUGCCCCUGACCCUUGCGGGAGAUGGCAGAUGUGAUUCGCCAGGCCACACAGCCCUCUAUGGCACUUACACACUGCUUGAGACAGUUGCCAAUAGGAUCAUCCACUUUGAAUUGGUCAAGUCAACAGAAGUCUCAAGCAGCAAUGCCAUGGAGGUACAUGGUCUAAAGAACUGCCUUGCCUACCUUGAAGCACAUGACAUGGUUGUGGACACCAUAGUGACUGACCGCCACACUGCAAUAAAGUCCGUGUUAAGGGAAUUGUGUCCACACAUCAAACACCGUUUUGACGUGUGGCACGUUGCGAAAGGGAUCAAGAAAAAGCUUGUGUCUCUCAGCCGCUCCACAAAGCACCAAGUUGUGAAGUUCUGGAUAGAGAGCCUUAUCCGACACAUAUACUGGUGUCCAAAGUACAGUGGGGAAAGUGGUGACGAAGACGUCUGGCGAAGUGGGUAUCGGCAGUGAACCACAUUGUCGAUGUCCAUGAGCAUGACAACCCACUGUACCCAGUUUGUUAUCAUGGCCCAGUUUCAGAACCACGAGAAUGGCUCAAAGAAGAUAGUGAGACGUACGCAAAGGUCAAGGACAUCUUGACAGCACCCGCACUGCUCAGGGAUGUCCCUAUGCUUUCUACAAAACAACAGACAUAUGGCCUGGAGUCAUACCACAGUGUCCUGAACCACUUCGUUCCGAAAUCCUAUUCAUUGUGGUGGCCAGGUAUUAAACCUUCAUAAAAUCAUGUCACAC
Molecule: long non-coding RNA, 778 nt
Organism: Ornithodoros turicata
Lineage: Eukaryota; Metazoa; Arthropoda; Arachnida; Ixodida; Argasidae
Exons: 4
Source: RefSeq, a predicted model, not a curated record